UCUGAUGUUUGAUUCCUCUGAUGUCGAUUCCUCUGAUGAAGUCAUUCCUCUGACUGUUGAUUUCUCUGGCGAGCAUUCCUCUGUUUUGGCGAGUAUUUCCUUCUCUGCUCUGCCAAGCUAGUCUACUCUGCUCUGCUGAGUUCUUCCACCCUGACCACCGAGCAUUUCUCUGCUCUGGUCUCCGAGUCUGACUUAUGUUUGUUUGUUUGUGAUAUGUUUAUAUGUGAGGUUGCAUGCUUAUGUGAUUGUGCAUGCCGACAUGUUUAUUUGCCUUGAGUAUGGUCCGAGUUGAGAGUUAUGUCGAGAGUAAGACGUGGGAAAUCCUUAGAAGUCGAGUAUGCCUAGGGAUUUAGUUUUACUGGGUAAAUAGACGUUGAGUGAGAAGUUAUCGAUGAAACGAGAUUGGAUUUUAGUAUUGAGAUCUAACUGAGGUUUGUUUUAUCACAUGAACUUUCGUGAUGAUGUUGAUGACUCAUGAAGACCCGAGCGAGACGAAGAAGUAAGUCACCUGUUCCUAUCCGAGCUUAAGCAAAGGACUCCAGGCUAAGCUCUGGAGCGAGAUUGGACUGGUGCUGGUGGGGACUGUUUCGUUGAUGAAGCUCCUUUGAUGUUUUACUUGAUGUUAGAGUCUUAAGAAUGAUGUGCUUUGUUUUCCUUCUGAUGUUGAUAAAACCUUAGUGAGAUGAUACACUAAUCUUUUCAAAUCAAGCAAUAUACUCGCGAUUAUAUGUC
This is a long non-coding RNA of Salvia miltiorrhiza (redroot sage), 732 nucleotides long. RefSeq lists it as uncharacterized. The transcript is spliced from 2 exons. The record is from RefSeq and is a predicted model, not a curated record. Lineage: Eukaryota; Viridiplantae; Streptophyta; Magnoliopsida; Lamiales; Lamiaceae.